Molecule: long non-coding RNA, 624 nt
Filed under: Homo sapiens (human)
Lineage: Eukaryota; Metazoa; Chordata; Mammalia; Primates; Hominidae
Description: non-protein coding lnc-CYLD-2:10
Source: RNAcentral
AGAGCUCACCCUCUCUGAAGGAGAGCAGGUGCCUCCUGAGAGCAGGGCUUCUCUACCUUGGGGCACUAUGAACAUUCUGAGUGGGUGCCCACUUUGUUCAUCUCUGCUCACUGGGGGAGCCAGGACACGGAUCCAGGUUUUCUGACUCCAGGUCUCAGGCUUGCUCCAUAGCGCCACCUGCUGGUGACGGCAAUCGGUAGGCACCCAAAUCAAGACUCAGAUUUCCUCAUCUCAGAAGUUGUCCACUUCUUCUCCGACCUCCACGGUAACUCGGAACCACACCGUGGAGUUAUCCCUGUGUCCUCUUUCUCGGAAGUUCCACAUCCAACCCCUCAGCAGGUCUCAGCGGCACUCUCACCACCUCCUCUGCUCUGUUCCUGUUUCUCUUGGAUGGUCGAAUGUUUCCUAAGGAGUGUCUGCUGCUUCACGCUUGCCCCCUGGAGUGGCAUCUAAAAGGUGCAGGUCAGAUGAAUCUUUCUUCUGCCAGGGCUCCCGGCUUAGCCAAGGAAAAGCACAAGUCCCUGACCAUAUCCUGCAAAAUUCCACAUCUGGGAACUCAGGCAUAUCAGGCCUGGUCUCUUUUUCUUCUUCCUUUUAAAAUAACGAAUACAUUGACAUGCCCCU